Long non-coding RNA from Ooceraea biroi (clonal raider ant), 1405 nucleotides. RefSeq lists it as uncharacterized. The record is from RefSeq and is a predicted model, not a curated record. Lineage: Eukaryota; Metazoa; Arthropoda; Insecta; Hymenoptera; Formicidae.
CGACUUACGACGGUCCGCACUUACGACCAAAAAAAAAUAAUACAUCAGACAGCUGCGCGCACGAUAACACGAAGAACACAACACGCAGUUCAACAUAACGUUUUUAGUUCAACCUGAACACGCAUAUUUACGAGAACGCAAUUACAAGUGAUUACAUGAGUGACUGGUGAGAUAGGACUCCAGGUGAAGGACUACUUUAAAAAAAUCUAACGCACCGCUAGCGAAAUCUCCAGAGUGAUGCGAAAGUUCGCUAUUGGAUAUUUUCUUUCUUAUCCUCGUAUAUUUAAAGAUAUAUUUACUUAUAUAGAUUUGUUUAUUUAUUUACUUACCGUAAUGCAAAAUUAUGAGAUAAAUUAAUUGCUAUAUUAUAAAAUUUUACGAUUUUAUUGAAAAAGAUUUGAAGAGACCUUAUCGUGACCUUGGAAGAGACUCCCAAGGUCAAACAAAGGUCACCGCCUUACACAUCCUUUGAAACCAAGCAACUUUUGUUUCAAAAGUCUUUUUCUAAAAUGUCUUGUUUGCAUGAUAUUUUAUCAUACCUUCUUUCAAACUGAACACCUUGUAUGACUAGUCUAAGCAAUAUUGAGCUAAUUUUGUUUGCAAAAAGUAUCAUCUGUUGGGUUCCUGAAUCAGACCUCACAAGAUGAAGAAAAUCGGCGUGUGACACUUGUUAAGGUUUACUUAUUAGAAAUGUUUUGCUAUGAUAAUUUAAGAUAACUUUUUGUGGAUCAACGUCAUCAUGAGUUUACAUUAUUGCAUGAAACACUUAAUUUCUACUCUAUUCUUGAUUUGCACGUGUUAUUUUUUUGCUGUGAUACAAAAAAUAUAUAAUGUAUACUAGCUAUUAACUGCUCAUGUAACAUUAUGUCCUCUUCUAAUUUCCAUAUUAUGAAAACACUAAUAUACGAGACUAACUGGAAAGCCGCGUGUAUUAUGUCUGGACAUUCAAAAAGCUUCUUGUCGAAUCAAGCGACGCGGUAGCGUCGCGACGCUAAGUACAUAAAAAUAAAAAAUAUUAUAAGAUUCCGAAGAAUGAAAGUCACUGCAUAAACAUCGAGUGUUACCAAGUUCAGUGUAUAUAUGUCGAGCGCGUAUAGCUUAUCUGUAUGCCGAUUCUCUAACUUUUUAACGAUAAUGUCGUUAUCAUUAUGUAGCGACUGUCGUCGCUUGCGCUAGCGACACUGUAACGACGAGGUUAUUCUGUAACUCAGAAUAUCGAUACAAUAUCGAUACAAAAUAGGUUUCCGACAUCGUUAACGAAACGAGUAUAUCCCGUUUGAUAUAACUCUGACACUAUCAGUUUUAACCAAUCAAAAUUCAUUCUGGAAGCAUCCUUUUUACCUAGUUUCGGAACACGAGACAUGACAACUGUUUGAAUCGGUAAGAAGUUGGUCGACAAAAAAAA